RNAcentral lists this ribosomal RNA (267 nucleotides) under Triticum aestivum (bread wheat). RNAcentral's name for it is "partial small subunit ribosomal RNA". Lineage: Eukaryota; Viridiplantae; Streptophyta; Magnoliopsida; Poales; Poaceae. The record is from RNAcentral.
AUGCAGGGCUACCUGACAGCGCUCCGGGAGUCGGAGAACAUGCCGCAGCCGCCGCCGCUUGUUCUGGAGUACAUUCAGGUCGCCCCGGGCGCCGUCCACCCGGAGGACCCGGAGGACUUUCCCGGGUAUCACGCCGCGCUCGAGGACUCGAUGGCUGCGCCGGCCGUGCCCGUGGUGCCCCUCGACGACAGUAGCAGCAGCGACGACAGCGACAACGGCGACGGGCUCUAUGACGAGGCAGACUUCGGCAGCGUGGAGGACGAGUAG